Molecule: ribosomal RNA, 619 nt
Filed under: Starmerella sp. JYC1056
Lineage: Eukaryota; Fungi; Ascomycota; Dipodascomycetes; Dipodascales; Trichomonascaceae
Description: SSU rRNA
Rfam family: Eukaryotic small subunit ribosomal RNA
Source: RNAcentral
AGAACGAAAGUUAGGGGAUCGAAGACGCUUAGAUACCGUCGUAGUCUUAACCGUAAACUAUGCCGACUCUGAAUCGGCCUCUUGAUAAUUAUGGGAGGUCGGCGCAGUGUGAGAAAUCAAAGUUUUUAGGUUCUGGGGGGAGUAUGGUCGCAAGGCUGAAACUUAAAGGAAUUGACGGAAGGGCACCACCAGGAGUGGAGCCUGCGGCUUAAUUUGACUCAACACGGGGAAACUCACCAGGUCCAGACUUCUGUAGGAUUGACGCAUUGGCGAUGCUUCAUGAUUAGAAGGGUGGUGGUGCAUGGCCGUUCUUAGUUCGUGACGUAAGUUGUCUGCUUUAUUGCGAUAACGAGCGAGACCUCGGCCGCUAGUUGCCGGAAGCCACAUUUUGUGGGUCUUCGGCUCUUAGCGGGACUACCGGAGACAAUUCGGGGGAGGUUCGAGGCAAUAACAGGUCUGUGAUGCCCUUAGACGUUCUGGGCCGCACGCGCGCUACACUGACGCAGCCAGCGAGUUCAAACCUUUUCCGAAAGGAAUGGGUAAUCUUGUUAAACUGCGUCGUGCUGGGGAUAGAGCUUUGCAAUUUUUGCUCUUGAACGAGGAAUCCUAGUAAGCGCAA